This 87-nucleotide transfer RNA is filed under the name Pararhodospirillum oryzae. RNAcentral describes it as "tRNA-Leu". It matches the Rfam family "tRNA". From Rfam's summary of the family: Transfer RNA (tRNA) molecules are approximately 80 nucleotides in length. Their secondary structure includes four short double-helical elements and three loops (D, anti-codon, and T loops). Further hydrogen bonds mediate the characteristic L-shaped molecular structure. tRNAs have two regions of fundamental functional importance: the anti-codon, which is responsible for specific mRNA codon recognition, and the 3' end, to which the tRNAs corresponding amino acid is attached (by aminoacyl-tRNA synthetases). tRNAs cope with the degeneracy of the genetic code in two manners: having more than one tRNA (with a specific anti-codon) for a particular amino acid; and 'wobble' base-pairing, i.e. permitting non-standard base-pairing at the 3rd anti-codon position. Lineage: Bacteria; Pseudomonadati; Pseudomonadota; Alphaproteobacteria; Rhodospirillales; Rhodospirillaceae. The record is from RNAcentral.
CCGGGCGUGGCGGAAUUGGUAGACGCAAGGGACUUAAAAUCCCUCGGGGCUUGCCCCGUGCCGGUUCAAGCCCGGCCGCCCGGACCA